AUAAAGAGUAUUGCUAAAGAACAAAGAGUACACACAUCACAUAGCCCAUAUAAAGUACACACAUCACAUAGAUUCAUAGCAAUUAAAGUUCAAACAUCACACAGCUACUAAGAGUACACACAAUGGAGUUCCCAUAGCGAUUUAGAGUGCACAUAGAGAUGUAAUACUAAACUAAAGUUCAAAGGUGCACAAUAAAGUGCACAACAUGAUGACAACGACGUAGCUCUACUGUGUAGAGCAAGGACCAAUUCCCUUUCCCUUCUUCUUCUUCCUCUCUUCUUCUUCUUCUUCUUCUUCUUCCUUAUCCCUUUUCCUUAUGAGACUUGCCUCGUGAACCACCUUCUCUAUGAAGCGCUUGUGCUCCCUCUCUUUCUUUGCCGC
RNAcentral lists this long non-coding RNA (381 nucleotides) under Hordeum vulgare. Its description in RNAcentral is "long non-coding RNA (HVUL_LNC001620)". Lineage: Eukaryota; Viridiplantae; Streptophyta; Magnoliopsida; Poales; Poaceae. The record is from RNAcentral.